AUUGAACGCUGGCGGCAUGCCUUACACAUGCAAGUCGAACGGCAGCACGGGUGCUUGCACCUGGUGGCGAGUGGCGAACGGGUGAGUAAUACAUCGGAACAUGUCCUGUAGUGGGGGAUAGCCCGGCGAAAGCCGGAUUAAUACCGCAUACGAUCUACGGAUGAAAGCGGGGGACCUUCGGGCCUCGCGCUAUAGGGUUGGCCGAUGGCUGAUUAGCUAGUUGGUGGGGUAAAGGCCUACCAAGGCGACGAUCAGUAGCUGGUCUGAGAGGACGACCAGCCACACUGGGACGGAGACACGGCCCAGACUCCUACGGGAGGCAGCAGUGGGGAAUUUUGGACAAUGGGCGAAAGCCUGAUCCAGCAAUGCCGCGUGUGUGAAGAAGGCCUUCGGGUUGUAAAGCACUUUUGUCCGGAAAGAAAUCCUUGGCCCUAAUACGGUCGGGGGAUGACGGUACCGGAAGAAUAAGCACCGGCUAACUACGUG
Molecule: ribosomal RNA, 486 nt
Filed under: uncultured bacterium
Lineage: Bacteria
Description: partial 16S ribosomal RNA
Rfam family: Bacterial small subunit ribosomal RNA
Source: RNAcentral